RNAcentral lists this ribosomal RNA (468 nucleotides) under uncultured bacterium. Its description in RNAcentral is "partial 16S ribosomal RNA". It matches the Rfam family "Bacterial small subunit ribosomal RNA", at positions 28 to 507 of the family's 1533-position model. The record is from RNAcentral.
GACGAACGCUGGCGGCGUGCUUAACACAUGCAAGUCGAACGGAAAGGCCCUGCUUUUGUGGGGUGCUCGAGUGGCGAACGGGUGAGUAACACGUGAGUAACCUGCCCUUGACUUUGGGAUAACUUCAGGAAACUGGGGCUAAUACCGGAUAGGAGCUCCUGCUGCAUGGUGGGGGUUGGAAAGUUUCGGCGGUUGGGGAUGGACUCGCGGCUUAUCAGCUUGUUGGUGGGGUUGUGGCUUACCAAGGCUUUGACGGGUAGCCGGCCUGAGAGGGUGACCGGCCACAUGGGGACUGAGGUACGGCCCAGACUCCAACGGGAGGCAGCAGGGGGGAAUAUUGCACAAUGGGCGGAAGCCUGAUGCAGCAACGCCGCGUGCGGGAUGACGGCCUUCGAGUUGUAAACCGCUUUCGCCGGUGACGAAGCGUGAGUGACGGUAAUGGGUAAAGAAGCACCGGCUAACUACGUG